This 926-nucleotide ribosomal RNA is filed under the name uncultured bacterium. Its description in RNAcentral is "bacterial SSU rRNA". It matches the Rfam family "Bacterial small subunit ribosomal RNA", at positions 375 to 1305 of the family's 1533-position model. The record is from RNAcentral.
CCGCAGGGUGAUCCAGCCAUGCCGCGUGCAGGAAAGAAGGCCCUAUGGGUCGUAAACUGCUUUUGCACCAGAGAAAACCCUCCUUCGUGAAGGGGGCUGAUAGUAUGGUGAGAAUAAGCAUCGGCUAACUUCGUGCCAGCAGCCGCGGUAAGACGAAGGAUGCAAGCGUUAUCCGGAUUCAUUGGGUUUAAAGGGAGCGUAGGCGGCCUUAUAAGUCAGUGGUGAAAUCUUUCCGCUUAACGGGAAAAUUGCCAUUGAUACUGUAGGGCUUGAGUACAGUUGCCGUUGGCGGAAUAUGACAUGUAGUGGUGAAAUACAUAGAGAUGUCAUAGAACACCGAUUGCGAAGGCAGCUAACGAAACUGUAACUGACGCUGAGGCUCGAAAGUGUGGGGAUCAAACAGGAUUAGAUACCCUGGUAGUCCACACUGUAAACGAUGAUUACUCGCUGCUGGGGGGCAACCUUCAGUGGCUUAGCGAAAGCGAUAAGUAAUCCACCUGGGGAGUACGCCGGCAACGGUGAAACUCAAAGGAAUUGACGGGGGCCCGCACAAGCGGAGGAGCAUGUGGUUUAAUUCGAUGAUACGCGAGGAACCUUACCAGGGCUUGAAAGUUAGUGACCGGUGGUGAAAGCCACUUUUCAGCAAUGACACGAAACUAGGUGCUGCAUGGCUGUCGUCAGCUCGUGCCGUGAGGUGUUGGGUUAAGUCCCGCAACGAGCGCAACCCCUACCAAUAGUUGCCAGCGGUUCGGCCGGGGACUCUAUUGGAACUGCCCGUGCAAACGGAGAGGAAGGUGGGGACGACGUCAAGUCAUCACGGCCCUUACGUCCUGGGCUACACACGUGCUACAAUGGCUAUUACAGAGGGCAGCUACNCAGCAAUGUGAUGCAAAUCUUCAAAAAUAGUCUCAGUUCGGAUUGGGGUC